UACGAAGGGUGCAAGCGUUACUCGGAAUUACUGGGCGUAAAGCGUGCGUAGGUGGUUUGUUAAGUCGGAUGUGAAAGCCCCGGGCUCAACCUGGGAAUUGCAUUCGAGACUGAAUAGCUAGGGUGCGGUAGAGGGAAGCGGAAUUUCCGGUGUAGCGGUGAAAUGCGUAGAUAUCGGAAGGAACAUCAGUGGCGAAAGCGGCUUCCUGGACCAGCACCGACGUUCAGGCACGAAAGCGUGGGGAGCAAACAGG
This 253-nucleotide ribosomal RNA is filed under the name uncultured bacterium. RNAcentral's name for it is "partial 16S ribosomal RNA". It matches the Rfam family "Bacterial small subunit ribosomal RNA", at positions 524 to 776 of the family's 1533-position model. The record is from RNAcentral.